Molecule: transfer RNA, 68 nt
Filed under: chicken gut metagenome
Rfam family: tRNA
About the family: Transfer RNA (tRNA) molecules are approximately 80 nucleotides in length. Their secondary structure includes four short double-helical elements and three loops (D, anti-codon, and T loops). Further hydrogen bonds mediate the characteristic L-shaped molecular structure. tRNAs have two regions of fundamental functional importance: the anti-codon, which is responsible for specific mRNA codon recognition, and the 3' end, to which the tRNAs corresponding amino acid is attached (by aminoacyl-tRNA synthetases). tRNAs cope with the degeneracy of the genetic code in two manners: having more than one tRNA (with a specific anti-codon) for a particular amino acid; and 'wobble' base-pairing, i.e. permitting non-standard base-pairing at the 3rd anti-codon position.
Source: RNAcentral
UUGUAUAGCUCAGUUGGUAGAGCAUCUGCCUUACAAACAGGAGGUCAUAAGUUCGAGACCUAUUGCAA